UAUUAUAUUUAAAUUACUUUAGGUAGUAUUAAUUUUUUAAAAACCUAUGCAGUUUGGCGGCAUUAAAUCACUUUAGAGGAACCUGUCUUUUAAUCGAUACCACACGAUAAAUUUUACUUUUAUUUACAUCUUAUAUACCUCCGUCUUAAGGGUUAAUAAUUUUAUUCUCCCCUAAAAAGAACUCUAAAAAGUUAGGUAAAGGUGUAGACUAUAUAAAAGUUAAGAUGGGUUACAAUAAAUUCCAUUUAAGGAUUUUAAAUAAAAUUUAAAAAUGAAAAAGGAUCCAUUAGUAAUUUAAAGAUAUUAUCCUUAUAUGAAGGUGAUAAACAAUGUGCACACAUCG
This 343-nucleotide ribosomal RNA is filed under the name Wagneriana eupalaestra. Its description in RNAcentral is "partial small subunit ribosomal RNA". Lineage: Eukaryota; Metazoa; Arthropoda; Arachnida; Araneae; Araneidae. The record is from RNAcentral.